Molecule: ribosomal RNA, 468 nt
Filed under: uncultured bacterium
Lineage: Bacteria
Description: partial 16S ribosomal RNA
Rfam family: Bacterial small subunit ribosomal RNA
Source: RNAcentral
GACGAACGCUGGCGGCGCGCCUAACACAUGCAAGUCGAACGGAGCUGAGAGAAGCUUGCUUUUCUUAGCUUAGUGGCGAACGGGUGAGUAACGCGUGAGUAACCUGCCCUGGAGUGGGGGACAACAGUUGGAAACGACUGCUAAUACCGCAUAAGCCCACGAUCCGGCAUCGGAUUGAGGGAAAAGGAUUUAUUCGCUUCAGGAUGGACUCGCGUCCAAUUAGCUAGUUGGUGAGGUAACGGCCCACCAACGCGACGAAUGGUAGACGGACUGAGAGGCUGGACGGCCACAUUGGGACUGAGACACGGCCCAGACUCCUACGGGAGGCAGCAGUGGGGGAUAUUGCACAAUGGGGGAAACCCUGAUGCAGCGACGCCGCGUGGAGGAAGAAGGUUUUCGGAUUGUAAACUCCUGUCGUUAGGGACGAUAAUGACGGUACCUAACAAGAAAGCACCGGCUAACUACGUG